AUUGAACGCUGGCGGCAGGCCUCACACAUGCAAGUCGAACGAGAGGCGGACGGGUGAGUAAUGAAUGGGAAAAUGCCCGAUGGAGGGGGAUAACUACUGGAAACGGUAGCUAAUACCGCAUUCCAUCGGCUGUGCCCAGAUGGGAUUAGAUAGUAGGGGGGGUAACGGGUCACCUAGGCGACGAUCCCUAGAUGGUCUGAGAGGAUGACCAGCCACACGGGAGCUGAGACACUGUCCAGACUCCUACGGUAGGCAGCAGUGGGGAAUAUUGCACAAUGGGCGCAAGCCUGAUGCAGCCAUGCCGCGUGUAUGAAGAAGGCCUUCGGGUUGUAAAGUACUUUCAGCGAGGAGGCGUUACUCGCAGAAGAAGCACCGGCUAACUCCGUGCCAGCAGCCGCGGUAAUUC
Molecule: ribosomal RNA, 406 nt
Filed under: uncultured bacterium
Lineage: Bacteria
Description: partial 16S ribosomal RNA
Rfam family: Bacterial small subunit ribosomal RNA
Source: RNAcentral